RNAcentral lists this non-coding RNA (111 nucleotides) under uncultured eukaryote. The record is from RNAcentral.
ACCCACCUGCUCUCUCGGGGUGUGGGUGCCCGCGGCAGCGGCCAGGCCGGAAAAGGGGUCGACAAAAAAGAAAAAAGGUGGGGGGAAAACGCCUUCUGCUGGGAACAGUGC